GACGAACGCUGGCGGCGUGCUUAACACAUGCAAGUCGAACGGAAAGGCCCUGCUUUUGUGGGGUGCUCGAGUGGCGAACGGGUGAGUAACACGUGAGUAACCUGCCCUUGACUUUGGGAUAACUUCAGGAAACUGGGGCUAAUACCGGAUAGGAGCUCCUGCUGCAUGGUGGGGGUUGGAAAGUUUCGGAGGUUGGGGAUGGACUCGCGGCUUAUCGGCUUGUUGGUGGGGUAGUGGCUGACCAAGGCUUUGACGGGUAGCCGGCCUGGGAGGGGGACCGGCCACAUUGGGACGGAGAUACGGCCCAGACGCCAACGGGAGGCAGCAGUGGAGAAUAUUACACAGUGGGCGGAAGCCUGAUGCAGCAACGCCGCGUGCGGGAUGACGGCCUUCGGGUUGUAAACCACUGUCGCCUGAGACGAAGCGUGAGUGACGGUAAUGGGUAAAGAAGCACCGGCUAACUACGUG
RNAcentral lists this ribosomal RNA (468 nucleotides) under uncultured bacterium. RNAcentral's name for it is "partial 16S ribosomal RNA". It matches the Rfam family "Bacterial small subunit ribosomal RNA", at positions 28 to 507 of the family's 1533-position model. The record is from RNAcentral.